GUCCCUAUUCCCUACAUAGUGCACUAAAUUAGACCAGAGUUAUGGAACGGAAUUCCCUUUUUAUGCACUUUGACCUUGAACUGAAGCAUGAGAAUAUUCACCUGCUACACACCUGUUAUUCACCUGCUACACACCUGUUAUUCACCUGUUCACCUGCUAUACACCUGUUAUUCACCUGCUACACCUGUUAUUCACCUGUUAUACACCUGUUAUUCACCUGCUACACACCUGUUAUUCACCUGUUCACCUGCUACACACCUGUUAUUCACCUGUUAUUCACCUGCUACACACCUGUUAUUCACCUGUUAUACACCUGUUAUACACCUGUUAUUCACCUGCUAUACACCUGUUAUUCACCUGCUAUACACCUGUUAUUCACCUGCUAUACACCUGUUAUUCACCUGCUAUACACCUGUUAUUCACCUGCUAUACACCUGUUAUUCACCUGCUACACACCUGUUAUUCACCUGUUAUACACCUGCUACACACCUGCUAUACACCUGUUAUUCACCUGCUACACACCUGUUAUACACCUGUUAUUCACCUGCUAUACACCUGCUAUACACCUGUUAUACACCUGCUAUACACCUGUUAUCCUGCUACACACCUGUUAUUCACCUGCUAUUCACCUGCUAUACACCUGCUACACACCUGUUAUUCUCCUGCUAUUCACCUGGUAUACACCUGUUAUUCUUCUGCUAUAUACCUGCUACACACCUGUUAUACACCUGCUAUACACCUGCUACUCACCUGUUAUACACCUGCUAUACACCUGAUACACCUGCUACUCACCUGCUACACACCUGCUACUCACCUGCUAUACACCUGUUAUUCUCCUGCUAUACACCUGAUUCACCUGUUAUACAUCUGCUAUUCACCUGCUAUACACCUGCUAUUCACCUGCUAUUCACCUGCUAUACACCUGCUAUUCACCUGCUAUUCAUUGGGGGUGGAGAUCUAAUACAUGAAGGUGUGGCGGAGCCGUGUCUACAGAUUCUGACCUUGUUGAUGCCUUCUUAACAUGCAUGACACCAAGGCUUUUACGGUUACAGAAGUCAACAAAUGAGAGAGCCUGGGGAAUGGGAGUGGAGCUAGGCACUGCAGGGCCUGGGUUAACCUCUACAUCACCAGACCAAGACCUCCCUGACCAAGGCCCUUCUCCCUUGAUUGUUCAGUUUGGCCAACGGGCCAGCUUCCAAACUUCUUUCAUUUAAGAAUGAUAGAGGCCUCUGUCUUCUUUGGGAAAUUCAAAGCUGCUGAAAUGUUUUGGUACCCUUCCCAAGAUCUGUGCCUCGACACAAUCCUUUUUCAGAGCUCUACGGACAAUUCCUUUCGACAUCAUGGCUUGGGUUUUGCUCUGACAUGCACUGUCAACUAUGAUACCUUAUGUAGACAGGUGUGUGCCUUUCCAAAUCAUGUCCAAUCAAUUGAAUUUACCCCAGGUGGACUCCAAUUAAGUUGCAGAAACAUCUCAAGGAUGAUCAAUGGAAAUAGGAUCCACCUGAGCUCAAUUUCAAGUCUCAUAGCAAAGGGUCUGAAUAUUUAUGUAAAUUUAAUAAGGCAUUAUCGUGGGUAGUUUGACUAGGUUUUUAUUUAAGGGGUCUGAAUACUUUCCGAAUGCACUGUAAAUUACACUGAGCAAAAGAGGAUGUUUUUGGAUUUUCACCCUCCAGACAUUAUUCCCUAAAGGUCUUGAUGAGAUAGAUGCCCAAGCAUGUUAUGUUGUAAAUGUGAACAUCAAUUAAUGCCGCCACUUCAGCCACUCUGGUGGUUUUUCCUGCACUGUACCCAUUGAUUACGUACUUGAUAGGUUGAUGUCCUCAUUGUGUUUUUACAGUCUUUUUUAAUAAGUUUAGAAUACUUAUUAAAUACACAUUGUUAUAUUUGAUAACACUUGGUUAUUUUCUUAAUAAAGAGCAGCGAACCUAGCAAGAGCAGUGUGUGGGUUUCUUUUUUCUCUCAGGAUGUAACAACAAAAUGUGGAAUAAGUCAAGGGCUAUGAAUACUUUCUGAAGGCACUGUACACGCACUACAUCACCACACACUACAUCACCACACACUACAUCACCACACACUACAUCACCACACACUACAUCACCACACACGCACUACAUAACCCCACACGCACUACGUAACCCCACACGCACUACAUCACCACACACUACAUAACCACACACUACAUCACCACACACUACAUAACCACACGCACUACAUAACCCCACACGCACUACAUAACCACACACUACAUAACCACGCACUACAUAACCACGCACUACAUAACCCCACACUACAUAACCCCACACUACAUAACCACGCACUACAUAACCACGCACUACAUAACCCCACACGGACUACAUCACCGCACACUACAUCACCACACACUACAUAACCACGCACUACAUAACCCCACACGCACUACAUCACCGCACACUACAUAACCACACACUACAUAACCACGCACUACAUAACCCCACACGCACUACAUCACCGCACACUACAUCACCACACACUACAUAACCACGCACUAC
RNAcentral lists this long non-coding RNA (2528 nucleotides) under Oncorhynchus kisutch (coho salmon). RNAcentral's name for it is "lncRNA (ENSOKIG00005028863.1)". The record is from RNAcentral. Lineage: Eukaryota; Metazoa; Chordata; Actinopteri; Salmoniformes; Salmonidae.